Molecule: transfer RNA, 85 nt
Organism: Felis catus (domestic cat)
Lineage: Eukaryota; Metazoa; Chordata; Mammalia; Carnivora; Felidae
Rfam family: tRNA
About the family: Transfer RNA (tRNA) molecules are approximately 80 nucleotides in length. Their secondary structure includes four short double-helical elements and three loops (D, anti-codon, and T loops).
Source: Rfam
ACCUGGGUGGCUCAGUCGGUUGAGCAUCCGACUUCGGCUCAGAUCAUGAUCUCACGGACUGUGGGUUCGAGCCCCGCGUCAGGCU